GUGAGGAAUAUUGGUCAAUGGGCGGGAGCCUGAACCAGCCAAGUCGCGUGAAGGAAGAAGGAUCUAUGGUUCGUAAACUUCUUUUGCAGGGGAAUAAAGUGCAGUACGUGUCCUGUUUUGUAUGUACCCUGAGAAUAAGGAUCGGCUAACUCCGUGCCAGCAGCCGCGGUAAUACGGAGGAUCCGAGCGUUAUCCGGAUUUAUUGGGUUUAAAGGGUGCGUAGGUGGUUUGAUAAGUCAGCGGUGAAAGUUUGCAGCUUAACUGUAAAAAUGCCGUUGAAACUGUCGGACUUGAGUGUAAAUGAGGUAGGCGGAAUGCGUGGUGUAGCGGUGAAAUGCAUAGAUAUCACGCAGAACUCCGAUUGCGAAGGCAGCUUACUAAGCUACAACUGACACUGAAGCACGAAAGCGUGGGGAUCAAACAGGAUUAGAAACCCUUGUAGUCC
This 445-nucleotide ribosomal RNA is filed under the name uncultured bacterium. RNAcentral's name for it is "partial 16S ribosomal RNA". It matches the Rfam family "Bacterial small subunit ribosomal RNA", at positions 354 to 796 of the family's 1533-position model. The record is from RNAcentral.